CACUGAGAUAAGGUCCGGGAAGGACGG
This 27-nucleotide non-coding RNA is filed under the name Bombyx mori (domestic silkworm). The record is from RNAcentral. Lineage: Eukaryota; Metazoa; Arthropoda; Insecta; Lepidoptera; Bombycidae.